GCACUGAGGGUGGCACUUGGCGGGAUGAGCACUGGGUGUUAUGCUAUAUAUUGCCAAAUUGAACUCCAAUAAAAAGAAAUUUUAAAAAAAGGAAUCAUCCUUCAACUGAAAAAAAAAAAUAGUCCACAAGGUAAUCUAGUUACAGUUUCCAAAAAUUAGAGUGUCCAUCUUUGCAGGGCUAUGAUGCAGCCCAGCACAGGUAUUUAGCACAAGUAUUAGCACAAACAGGCAUGCAACAAAGUUCAGUCCCUGUCUCCUCUUCCCAUCAGAAUCAGAGGCAAGAUGGAUCAAUUGCUCAUUCCCCCAAUUUACCAUCACCUUGAACACUCUUCUCAGAGGUCCAAAAAGAAAUGCCAAAGGGAUCUUCUCAGAGUAAAAUGGGAAAAACCUUAAAAACUCCUACUUGUUUUUAUACUGGUCAACAUUGCUGUGGAAGACAUUUUAUGGUACCAUCUCAUACUUCGCUGCUACCCAAGUGUGAACACUACAUCUGGUUUGAAAAUGAGAAUCGGUGAACCUCUCUAGACUCCCAAGCAAGAUUAAAAAACUGAAGCAGGCUCUUUAAUGUUUUUGUCCAAAAACUUUGAACUAGUAAACGGGAGACCUGGGACAACAGUAAAGACCACAUCAUAGGAACAUCCUUCUCAGGAUGCCAGUUCCUACUGUCUACCAUGAAGCACUUCUCUCACCACCAACUUUACUGCCCCUGGGCACUGGGCUCUUGGCUACCACGUUGCACCUCUUAUUCCAGAUUCAGGUCUCGGGUGCUUACCACAUUUAUACAAAAGGAAACAGAAAUUCAACGUCUUGGAAAUCUCAAAUUAUCUUCAAAAUCUCGCUGUUUUGCAUCAUGAAAGGAGGCUUAGCUGAAUACUACAAUCAAAGGACGACUCACAUAAUUAGAAAAAAAGCCCUGCUUUCUUCAUUAAAAAAAAAUGAGAAUAAAUUUUCUGUCAUUCUUUGCUUGCAUACAUGUCUUAUCCCCUGAUGCUCAGUAAAGCUGAAUUUUCAAAUUUGUAACACUUCUUCAGGUCUCUGGGUUUGAUUAAUAAUAAUUGUCAGUCCAUUAAAAUGGAUUAUGAUGAUUCCCAAGGAAUUGGUUGUUAACAUAAUUAACAGCUGGCUUUACUUUCAAGACAUUAAUCAAAAGAGCAAGUUGCUGGAAAUGACCAGGUUCUCACAAAUGUUGCUAAUUAACAAAGGCAUUGAAGUUGUGUGACAAUGAUUCCUGAUGCUGUUAUCUGCAUGAUUGUAUCACAGCUUUAAAUGCCCCCAAUGUGAUAUGUUUUCUCAAGUGUUAUUAAGCCAACAGGCAUUUGAAUAAAUUUAAUUUAAAAGAAACA
Molecule: long non-coding RNA, 1343 nt
Filed under: Vulpes vulpes (red fox)
Lineage: Eukaryota; Metazoa; Chordata; Mammalia; Carnivora; Canidae
Description: lncRNA (ENSVVUG00000013160.1)
Source: RNAcentral